RNAcentral lists this ribosomal RNA (398 nucleotides) under uncultured bacterium. Its description in RNAcentral is "bacterial SSU rRNA". It matches the Rfam family "Bacterial small subunit ribosomal RNA", at positions 29 to 426 of the family's 1533-position model. The record is from RNAcentral.
AUUAAACGCUGGCGGCAUGCCUUACACAUGCAAGUCGAACGGCAGCACGGGGGCAACCCUGGUGGCGAGUGGCGAACGGGUGAGUAAAGCAUCGGAACGUGCCCUGGAGUGGGGGAUAACGUAGCGAAAGUUACGCUAAUACCGCAUAUUCUGUGAGCAGGAAAGCAGGGGAUCGCAAGACCUUGCGCUCUGGGAGUGGCCGAUGUCGGAUUAGCUAGUUGGUGGGGUAAAGGCCUACCAAGGCGACGAUCCGUAGCGGGUCUGAGAGGAUGAUCCGCCACACUGGGACUGAGACACGGCCCAAACUCCUACGGGAGGCAGCAGUGGGGAAUUUUGGGACAAUGGGGGGCAACCCUGAUCCAGCCAUGCCGCGUGAGUGAAGAAGGCCUUCGGGUUGU